Molecule: ribosomal RNA, 253 nt
Filed under: uncultured bacterium
Lineage: Bacteria
Description: partial 16S ribosomal RNA
Rfam family: Bacterial small subunit ribosomal RNA
Source: RNAcentral
UACGGAGGGUCCAAGCGUUAUCCGGAAUCAUUGGGCUUAAAGGGUCCGUAGGCGGGGUUACAAGUCAGUGGUGAAAGCCCAUCGCUCAACGAUGGAACGGCCAUUGAUACUGUAGAUCUUGAAUUAUUAGGAAGUAACUAGAAUAUGUAGUGUAGCGGUGAAAUGCUUAGAGAUUACAUGGAAUACCGAUUGCGAAGGCAGGUUACUGCUAAUGGAUUGACGCUGAUGGACGAAAGCGUGGGUAGCGAACAGG